GAUGAACGCUGGCGGCGUGCCUAAUACAUGCAAGUCGAGCGAACAGAUGAGGAGCUUGCUCCUCUGACGUUAGCGGCGGACGGGUGAGUAACACGUGGAUAACCUACCUAUAAUACUGGGAUAACUUCGGGAAACCGGAGCUAAUACCGGAUAAUAUAUUGAACCGCAUGGUUCAAUAGUGAAAGACGGUUUUGCUGUCACUUAUAGAUGGAUCCGCGCCGCAUUAGCGGGUGGGUAAGGUAACGGCUUACCAAGGCAACGAAGCGUAGCCGACCUGAGAGGGUGAUCGGCCACACUGGAACUGAGACACGGUCCAGACUCCUACGGGAGGCAGCAGUAGGGAAUCUUCCGCAAUGGGCGAAAGCCUGACGGAGCAACGCCGCGUGAGUGAUGAAGGUCUUCGGAUCGUAAAACUCUGUUAUUAGGGAAGAACAAAUGUGUAAGUAACUAUGCACGUCUUGACGGUACCUAAUCAGAAAGCAACGGCUAACUACGUG
Molecule: ribosomal RNA, 497 nt
Filed under: uncultured bacterium
Lineage: Bacteria
Description: partial 16S ribosomal RNA
Rfam family: Bacterial small subunit ribosomal RNA
Source: RNAcentral